This 440-nucleotide ribosomal RNA is filed under the name uncultured bacterium. RNAcentral's name for it is "partial 16S ribosomal RNA". It matches the Rfam family "Bacterial small subunit ribosomal RNA", at positions 338 to 795 of the family's 1533-position model. The record is from RNAcentral.
CCUACGGGUGGCAGCAGUGGGGGAUAUUGCACAAUGGGGGAAACCCUGAUGCAGCGACGCCGCGUGUGGGAAGACGGUCCUCUGGAUUGUAAACCACUUUCCCCAGGGACGAAGAUGACGGUACCGGGGGAGGAAGCUCCGGCUAACUACGUACCAGCAGCCGCGGUAAUACGUAGGGAGCGAGCGUUGUCCGGAGUUACUGGGUGUAAAGGGAGCGUAGGCGGGACUGCAAGUUGGGGGUAAAAGCUACGGGCUCAACCGGUAGCCGCACUCAAAACUGCAGUUCUUGAGUGAAGUAGAGGCAGGCGGAAUUCCUAGUGUAGCGGUGAAAUGCGUAGAUAUUAGGAGGAACACCAGUGGCGAAGGCGGCCUGCUGGGCUUUUACUGACGCUGAGGCUCGAAAGUGUGGGGAGCAAACAGGAUUAGAUACCCUGGUAGUC